AUUGAACGCUGGCGGCAUGCCUUACACAUGCAAGUCGAACGGCAGCAUAGGAGCUUGCUCCUGAUGGCGAGUGGCGAACGGGUGAGUAAUAUAUCGGAACGUGCCCUAGAGUGGGGGAUAACUAGUCGAAAGACUAGCUAAUACCGCAUACGAUCGUACGGAUAGAAAGGUGGGGAUCGACAAGACCUCAUGCCUCCGUGGAGCCGGCCGAUAUCUGAUUAGCUAGUUGGUAGGGGUAAAGCCUACCAAGGCAACGAUCAGUAGCUGGUCUGAGAGGACGACC
This 283-nucleotide ribosomal RNA is filed under the name uncultured bacterium. Its description in RNAcentral is "partial 16S ribosomal RNA". It matches the Rfam family "Bacterial small subunit ribosomal RNA", at positions 30 to 305 of the family's 1533-position model. The record is from RNAcentral.